GGAAAUGUGCCUGAACAAAAGGGUAACUUUGAUAGAGUUAACAAUAGAGACUACAACCCUCUCAUUUCCU
This 70-nucleotide transfer RNA is filed under the name Anolis cybotes (large-headed anole). RNAcentral describes it as "tRNA-Ile". The record is from RNAcentral. Lineage: Eukaryota; Metazoa; Chordata; Lepidosauria; Squamata; Anolidae.